RNAcentral lists this ribosomal RNA (239 nucleotides) under uncultured bacterium. Its description in RNAcentral is "partial 16S ribosomal RNA". It matches the Rfam family "Bacterial small subunit ribosomal RNA", at positions 15 to 239 of the family's 1533-position model. The record is from RNAcentral.
GAUGCUGGCUCAGGAUGAACGCUAGCGGCAGGCUUAACACAUGCAAGUCGAGGGGCAGCAUGAGGAGUCAGCAAUGACACCUUGAUGGCGACCGGCGCAAGGGUGCGUAACGCGUGAGCAACCUGCCAGUCGACGGGGGGAUAACCGGUGGAAACGCCGACUAAUAUCCCAUAGUUCGUUUUUAGGGGCAUCCCUUUAAAGAUAAAGGCUUCGGCCGGUGACGGAUGGGCUCGCGUGAC